Long non-coding RNA from Branchiostoma belcheri (Belcher's lancelet), 267 nucleotides. RefSeq lists it as uncharacterized. The record is from RefSeq and is a predicted model, not a curated record. The transcript has 3 exons. Lineage: Eukaryota; Metazoa; Chordata; Leptocardii; Amphioxiformes; Branchiostomatidae.
GUGGAUGUUUCCAGCCUACGCUGGGACUGGGAGCACACAACAAUGUAGCAAUAACAACACAGGGCAGUGACAUGCACUUCACCAGUAGCACAGUACUACUAUUCAGCCAGACUGAAGUCAGGGGUGAUGAAGACGAUGCUGCCUUUGGUGUGCUGGAACUGCGGCGAGGAGGAAACGCUGCCCAUACCAGCAGAGAAGACUGCUGCAUACCAGACAAUAAACCCUGUUUGCCAGGUCUGCAAAAUGUGAUGAAAGAAACAGAACGGG